CGCGUGCACUGGUCCGGCCGGGCCUUUCCCUCUGCGGAACCCCAUGCCCUUCACUGGGUGUGGCGGGGAAACAGGACUUUUACUUUGAAAAAAUUAGAGUGCUCAAGGCAGGCCUAUGCUCGAAUACAUUAGCAUGGAAUAAUAGAAUAGGACGUGUGGUUCUAUUUUGUUGGUUUCUAGGACCGCCGUAAUGAUUAAUAGGGACAGUCGGGGGCAUCAGUAUUCAAUUGUCAGAGGUGAAAUUCUUGGAUUUAUUGAAGACUAACUACUGCGAAAGCAUUUGCCAAGGAUGUUUUCAUUAAUCAGGAACGAAAGUUAGGGGAUCGAAGACGAUCAGAUACCGUCGUAGUCUUAACCAUAAACUAUGCCGACUAGGGAUCGGACGAUGUUACAUUUUUGACGCGUUCGGCACCUUACGAGAAAUCAAAGUGCUUGGGCUCCAGGGGGAGUAUGGUCGCAAGGCUGAAACUUAAAGAAAUUGACGGAAGGGCACCACCAGGGUGGAGCCUGCGGCUUAAUUUGACUCAACACGGGGAAACUCACCAGGUCCAGACACAAUGAGGAUUGACAGAUUGAGAGCUCUUUCUUGAUUUUGUGGGUGGUGGUGCAUGGGCCGUUCUUAGUUGGUGGAGUGAUUUGUCUGCUUAAUUGCGAUAACGAACGAGACCUUAACCUGCUAAAUAGCCCGUAUUGCUUUGGCAGUACGCUGGCUUCUUAGAGGGACUAUGCGG
Molecule: ribosomal RNA, 731 nt
Filed under: uncultured eukaryote
Lineage: Eukaryota
Description: SSU rRNA
Rfam family: Eukaryotic small subunit ribosomal RNA
Source: RNAcentral